CAACAGGGAUUGCCUCAGUAACGGCGAGUGAAGCGGCAACAGCUCAAAUUUGAAAUCUGGCCUCGGCCCGAGUUGUAAUUUGUAGAGGAAGCUUUUGGUGCGGCACCGACCGAGUCCCCUGGAACGGGGCGCCAUAGAGGGUGAGAGCCCCGUAUGGUUGGACGCCUAUCCUCUGUAAAGCUCCUUCGACGAGUCGAGUAGUUUGGGAAUGCUGCUCAAAAUGGGAGGUAAAUUUCUUCUAAAGCUAAAUACUGGCCAGAGACCGAUAGCGCACAAGUAGAGUGAUCGAAAGAUGAAAAGCACUUUGAAAAGAGGGUUAAACAGCACGUGAAAUUGUUGAAAGGGAAGCGCCUGUGACCAGACUUGCGCCUCGUCGAUCAUCCGGGGUUCUCCCCGGUGCGCUCGGCGGGGCUCAGGCCAGCAUCGGUUCUCGCGGGGGGACAAAGGCUCCGGGAACGUAGCUCCUCCGGGAGUGUUAUAGCCCGGGGCGCAAUGCCCCCGCGGGGACCGAGGACCGCGCUUCGGCAAGGAUGCUGGCGUAAUGGUCACCAGCGACCCGUCUUGAAACACGGACCAAGGAGUCAAGGUUUUGCGCGAGUGUUUGGGUGUAAAACCCGCACGCGUAAUGAAAGUGAACGUAGGUGAGAGCUUCGGCGCAUCAUCGACCGAUCCUGAUGUAUUCGGAUGGAUUUGAGUAGGAGCGUUAAGCCUUGGACCCGAAAGAUGGUGAACUAUGCUUGGAUAGGGUGAAGCCAGAGGAAACUCUGGUGGAGGCUCGCAGCGGUUCUGACGUGCAAAUCGAUCGUCAAAUCUGAGCAUGGGGGCGAAAGACUAAUCGAACCAU
Molecule: ribosomal RNA, 844 nt
Filed under: Triangularia tetraspora
Lineage: Eukaryota; Fungi; Ascomycota; Sordariomycetes; Sordariales; Podosporaceae
Description: eukaryotic LSU rRNA
Rfam family: Eukaryotic large subunit ribosomal RNA
Source: RNAcentral